UGGGGAAUAUUGGACAAUGGGCGCAAGCCUGAUCCAGCCAUGCCGCGUGAGUGAUGAAGGCCUUAGGGUUGUAAUGCUCUUUUUGGCGGGGACGAUAAUGACGGUACCCGCAGAAUAAGCCCCGGCUAACUUCGUGCCAGCAGCCGCGGUAAUACGAAGGGGGCUAGCGUUGUUCGGAAUUACUGGGCGUAAAGCGCACGUAGGCGGAUCGGCAAGUCAGGGGUGAAAUCCCGGGGCUCAACCUCGGAACUGCCUCUGAUACUGCCAGUCUAGAGUCCGGAAGAGGUGGGUGGAAUUCCUAGUGUAGAGGUGAAAUUCGCAGAUAUUAGGAAGAACACCGGUGGCGAAGGCGGCCCACUGGUCCGGUACUGACGCUGAGGUGCGAAAGCGUGGGGAGCAAACAGGAUUAGAUACCCCGGUAGUCCCUGAGCGGGCUGGCAAGGCGCAU
RNAcentral lists this ribosomal RNA (448 nucleotides) under uncultured bacterium. RNAcentral describes it as "bacterial SSU rRNA". It matches the Rfam family "Bacterial small subunit ribosomal RNA", at positions 355 to 825 of the family's 1533-position model. The record is from RNAcentral.